GGGGAUGAUCGGCCUAGACGGAGAAUUGGCUGUGAUGCGUGCGAAGCCGAGGACGCCACCUGCUCGUAAAAACGCUGGCAAACAAUAAGUGCAAAAAAUACACUUACCAAGGCAAAGGCAAUGGUUAGCCCAUACUUUGCUCCCGCUCUCGCAAUCGCGUAAGCAGGCGUCCGUUCGUAUCGCCGUCCGAUAGAUGCGAAUGGGUGUAAUAUACUUCGGGCUGGAGAACGCGACAUCCUCGACGCGAUCUCAAGAUACAGAGGAUCGAAACGAUGAGAUUUUGAUUGUUCCUCACUCAUCAUUUCUAAACCAAAAAACAAUCUACGCUUCGUAGAAACGCAUCAUUCCACUCUCCGCACGGGGGUUCGAUUCCCCCCAUCUCCACCA
Candidatus Nomurabacteria bacterium CG1_02_47_685 is the source of this 387-nucleotide non-coding RNA. The record is from Rfam. Lineage: Bacteria; Candidatus Nomuraibacteriota.